Molecule: small nuclear RNA, 116 nt
Organism: Protopterus annectens (West African lungfish)
Lineage: Eukaryota; Metazoa; Chordata; Ceratodontiformes; Protopteridae
Product: U5 spliceosomal RNA
Exons: 1
Source: RefSeq, a predicted model, not a curated record
UUACUCCUGUUUCCUUUCAGAACGCAUAAAUCUUUCGCCUUUUACUAAAGAUUUCCAUGGAGGGGAAACAAUAUGAGUUUUUUGUGCAUUUUUCGUAACCCCGCUAUGGGGGGGUA